This 328-nucleotide ribosomal RNA is filed under the name uncultured archaeon. RNAcentral's name for it is "bacterial SSU rRNA". It matches the Rfam family "Archaeal small subunit ribosomal RNA", at positions 321 to 649 of the family's 1478-position model. The record is from RNAcentral.
CCCUACGGGGCGCAGCAGGCGCGAAAACUUUACAAUGCAGGCAACUGCGAUAAGGGAACAUCGAGUGGCACGCAAUUUGUGUGUCUGUCCACCCGUCUAAAAAACGGGUGUUAGCAAGGGCCGGGCAAGACCGGUGCCAGCCGCCGCGGUAAUACCGGCGGCUCGAGUGGUGGCCGAUAUUAUUGAGUCUAAAGGGUCCGUAGCCGGCUUUGCAAGUCUUUUGGGAAAUCCAGCGGCUUAACCGUUGGUCGUCCGGGAGAUACUACAUUGCUUGGGACUGGGAGAGGUAAGAGGUACUCAGGGGGUAGGAGUGAAAUCCUGUAAUCCA